GACGCCGCGUGGCCGAUGAAGCUCUUAGGAGUGUAAAGGCCUGUCGCAGGGGAGGAAUCUUCCUUUACCGAACAGGUAAUGGAACUGACAGUACCUUGCAAGAAAGCUCCGGCUAACUCCGUGCCAGCAACUUCGGUGACUGAGCGGGCUGGCAAGGCGCAUA
RNAcentral lists this ribosomal RNA (163 nucleotides) under uncultured bacterium. Its description in RNAcentral is "partial 16S ribosomal RNA". It matches the Rfam family "Bacterial small subunit ribosomal RNA", at positions 393 to 539 of the family's 1533-position model. The record is from RNAcentral.